RNAcentral lists this ribosomal RNA (522 nucleotides) under uncultured Nereida sp. RNAcentral describes it as "bacterial SSU rRNA". It matches the Rfam family "Bacterial small subunit ribosomal RNA", at positions 523 to 1046 of the family's 1533-position model. The record is from RNAcentral. Lineage: Bacteria; Pseudomonadati; Pseudomonadota; Alphaproteobacteria; Rhodobacterales; Roseobacteraceae.
AUACGGAGGGGGUUAGCGUUGUUCGGAAUUACUGGGCGUAAAGCGUACGUAGGCGGAUUAGUAAGUUAGAGGUGAAAUCCCAGGGCUCAACCCUGGAACUGCCUUUAAUACUGCUAGUCUAGAGUUCGAGAGAGGUGAGUGGAAUUCCAAGUGUAGAGGUGAAAUUCGUAGAUAUUUGGAGGAACACCAGUGGCGAAGGCGGCUCACUGGCUCGAUACUGACGCUGAGGUACGAAAGUGUGGGGAGCAAACAGGAUUAGAUACCCUGGUAGUCCACGCCGUAAACGAUGGUUACUAGCUGUUUGGACCUUGUGUCUGAGUGGCUAAGCGAAAGUGAUAAGUAACCCACCUGGGGAGUACGUUCGCAAGAAUGAAACUCAAAGGAAUUGACGGGGGCCCGCACAAGCGGUGGAGCAUGUGGUUUAAUUCGAUGCGACGCGAAGAACCUUACCUACUCUUGACAUACUAGAAACUUUUCAGAGAUGAAUUGGUGCCUUCGGGAAUCUAGAUACAGGUGCUGCAU